Molecule: ribosomal RNA, 496 nt
Filed under: uncultured bacterium
Lineage: Bacteria
Description: partial 16S ribosomal RNA
Rfam family: Bacterial small subunit ribosomal RNA
Source: RNAcentral
AACGAACGCUGGCGGCAGGCCUCAAACAUGCAAGUCGAGCGUGAAAGUUCUUCGGAAUGAGUAAAGCAGCGGACGGGUGAGUAACGCGUAGGAAUCUGCCCUGAAGUGGGGGAUAACUUGGGGAAACUCAAGCUAAUACCGCAUAGACCUGAGGGUGAAAGAUGGGGAUCUUCGGACCUAUCGCUUCAGGCGGAGCCUGAGUCGGGUUAGCUGGUUGGUAGGGUAAAGGCCUACCAAGGCGAGGAUCCGUAGCUGGUCUGAGAGGAUGACCAGCCACACUGGGACUGAGACACGGUCCAGACUCCUACGGGAGGCAGCAGUGGGGAAUAUUGGACAAUGGGCGAAAGCCUGAUCCAGCCAUGCCGCGUGUGUGAAGAAGGUCUUCGGAUUGUAAAGCACUUUAAGUUGGGAGGAAGGGUUGUAGAUUAAUACUCUGCAAUUUUGACGUUACCGACAGAACAAGCACCGGCUAACUCUGUGCCAGCCGCCGCAGUAA